This 490-nucleotide ribosomal RNA is filed under the name uncultured bacterium. Its description in RNAcentral is "partial 16S ribosomal RNA". It matches the Rfam family "Bacterial small subunit ribosomal RNA", at positions 30 to 507 of the family's 1533-position model. The record is from RNAcentral.
AUUGAACGCUGGCGGCAUGCUUUACACAUGCAAGUCGGACGGCAGCACAGAGAAGCUUGCUUCUUGGGUGGCGAGUGGCGAACGGGUGAGUAAUAUAUCGGAACGUACCGAGUAAUGGGGGAUAACUAAUCGAAAGAUUAGCUAAUACCGCAUAUUCUCUGAGGAGGAAAGCAGGGGACCUUCGGGCCUUGCGUUAUUCGAGCGGCCGAUAUCUGAUUAGCUAGUUGGUGGGGUAAAGGCCUACCAAGGCGACGAUCAGUAGCGGGUCUGAGAGGAUGAUCCGCCACACUGGGACUGAGACACGGCCCAGACUCCUACGGGAGGCAGCAGUGGGGAAUUUUGGACAAUGGGCGCAAGCCUGAUCCAGCCAUGCCGCGUGUCUGAAGAAGACCUUCGGGUUGUAAAGGACUUUUGUCAGGGAAGAAAAGGCUGUUGCUAAUACCGACAGCUGAUGACGGUACCUGAAGAAUAAGCACCGGCUAACUACGUG